CCAGCUUGCUGGGUGGAUUAGUGGCGAACGGGUGAGUAACACGUGGGUGAUCUGCCCUGCACUUCGGGAUAAGCCUGGGAAACUGGGUCUAAUACCGGAUAGGACCUCGGGAUGCAUGUUCCGGGGUGGAAAGGUUUUCCGGUGCAGGAUGGGCCCGCGGCCUAUCAGCUUGUUGGUGGGGUAACGGCCCACCAAGGCGACGACGGGUAGCCGGCCUGAGAGGGCGACCGGCCACACUGGGACUGAGACACGGCCCAGACUCCUACGGGAGGCAGCAGUGGGGAAUAUUGCACAAUGGGCGCAAGCCUGAUGCAGCGACGCCGCGUGAGGGAUGACGGCCUUCGGGUUGUAAACCUCUUUCAGUACCGACGAAGCGCAAGUGACGGUAGGUACAGAAGAAGCACCGGCCAACUACGUGCCAGCAGCCGCGGUAAUACGUAGGGUGCGAGCGUUGUCCGGAAUUACUGGGCGUAAAGAGCUCGUAGGCGGUUUGUCGCGUCGUCUGUGAAAACCCGCAGCUCAACUGCGGGCUUGCAGGCGAUACGGGCAGACUUGAGUACUGCAGGGGAGACUGGAAUUCCUGGUGUAGCGGUGAAAUGCGCAGAUAUCAGGAGGAACACCGGUGGCGAAGGCGGGUCUCUGGGCAGUAACUGACGCUGAGGAGCGAAAGCGUGGGUAGCGAACAGGAUUAGAUACCCUGGUAGUCCACGCCGUAAACGGUGGGCGCUAGGUGUGGGUUUCCUUCCACGGGAUCCGUG
RNAcentral lists this ribosomal RNA (758 nucleotides) under Rhodococcus ruber. RNAcentral describes it as "bacterial SSU rRNA". It matches the Rfam family "Bacterial small subunit ribosomal RNA", at positions 75 to 845 of the family's 1533-position model. The record is from RNAcentral. Lineage: Bacteria; Bacillati; Actinomycetota; Actinomycetes; Mycobacteriales; Nocardiaceae.